GAAAUGCGAUACUUGGUGUGAAUUGCAGAAUUCAGUGAAUCAUCGAAUCUUUGAACGCACAUUGCGCCCUUUGGUAUUCCUUAGGGCAUGCCUGUUCGAGCGUCAUUUAAACCCUCAAGCCCUGCUUGGUGUUGGGUGCCUGUCCCGCCCCCGCGCGUGGACUCACCUCAAAUCCAUUGGCGGCCCCCGCACGGCCACGAGCGCAGCAGAAACGCAAACUCGUGCGCAGAGCGGGCGGCUCCCAGAAGCUACACCCACCAUUUUUGACCUCGGAUCAGGUAGGGAUACCCGCUGAACUUAA
RNAcentral lists this unclassified non-coding RNA (301 nucleotides) under uncultured Pleosporales. RNAcentral describes it as "sequence contains ITS1". The stretch from base 1 to 105 matches the Rfam family "5.8S ribosomal RNA", at positions 50 to 154 of the family's 154-position model. Lineage: Eukaryota; Fungi; Ascomycota; Dothideomycetes; Pleosporales. The record is from RNAcentral.